Molecule: long non-coding RNA, 117 nt
Organism: Myripristis murdjan (pinecone soldierfish)
Lineage: Eukaryota; Metazoa; Chordata; Actinopteri; Holocentriformes; Holocentridae
Exons: 3
Source: RefSeq, a predicted model, not a curated record
AUGGCAACAGUCACAGCCGUCAGGAACUAUUAAAAUCGUCCAUCCUCAACACUUCACAAUGUCAUAAUACACAAGACGCGAGCACUAGCCGGGCCAAUAUUCAUUUAAAACGUUAAU